RNAcentral lists this transfer RNA (74 nucleotides) under Pelosinus fermentans JBW45. It matches the Rfam family "tRNA". Rfam says of the family: Transfer RNA (tRNA) molecules are approximately 80 nucleotides in length. Their secondary structure includes four short double-helical elements and three loops (D, anti-codon, and T loops). Further hydrogen bonds mediate the characteristic L-shaped molecular structure. tRNAs have two regions of fundamental functional importance: the anti-codon, which is responsible for specific mRNA codon recognition, and the 3' end, to which the tRNAs corresponding amino acid is attached (by aminoacyl-tRNA synthetases). tRNAs cope with the degeneracy of the genetic code in two manners: having more than one tRNA (with a specific anti-codon) for a particular amino acid; and 'wobble' base-pairing, i.e. permitting non-standard base-pairing at the 3rd anti-codon position. The record is from Rfam by way of RNAcentral. Lineage: Bacteria; Bacillati; Bacillota; Negativicutes; Selenomonadales; Sporomusaceae.
GGCUCCGUAGCUCAGCUGGAUAGAGCACUUGACUUCGAAUCAAUAGGUCGGGGGUUCGAAUCCCUCCGGGGUCA